AGAGGGAGCUAAAGCAAUCCUAGAUGAACUCUAAUAAUUUCACUUGGACACUUGUCAAACGUCCUGUUGCUUAUCAUUGAAUUGAAGCAUGCCAUUGCCAGUUCAACUGUUUCCUCUCACUUGAUAUCUUUUGCUGCUGAUCGUAGCAUGCCUAGAAGCAGCAGUGAGGAUUUUGCAGAGUGGUAUUCUAAGAAAUUCGACUGUUGGACAUGGGUGUUAAGAAACGGACCAAGAGAGUGGAAGGCUGUCUCAUCAGCACCCGA
This 263-nucleotide long non-coding RNA is filed under the name Elaeis guineensis (African oil palm). RNAcentral describes it as "long non-coding RNA (EGUI_LNC006058)". Lineage: Eukaryota; Viridiplantae; Streptophyta; Magnoliopsida; Arecales; Arecaceae. The record is from RNAcentral.